AGAGCGAACGCUGGCGGCAGGCCUAACACAUGCAAGUCGAACGGACCCUUCGGGGUUAGUGGCGGACGGGCGAGUAACACGUGGGAACGUGCCUUUAGGUUCGGAAUAGCUCCUGGAAACGGGUGGUAAUGCCGAAUGUGCCCUUCGGGGGAAAGAUUUAUCGCCUUUAGAGCGGCCCGCGUCUGAUUAGCUUGUUGGUGAGGUAAUGGCUCACCAAGGCUACGAUCAGUAGCUGGUCUGAGAGGAUGACCAGCCACAUUGGGACUGAGACACGGCCCAAACUCCUACGGGAGGCAGCAGUGGGGAAUCUUGCGCAAUGGGCGAAAGCCUGACGCAGCCAUGCCGCGUGAAUGAUGAAGUCUAUAGGAUUAGGUAAAAUUC
This 381-nucleotide ribosomal RNA is filed under the name uncultured soil bacterium. RNAcentral describes it as "bacterial SSU rRNA". It matches the Rfam family "Bacterial small subunit ribosomal RNA", at positions 26 to 433 of the family's 1533-position model. The record is from RNAcentral.